This 460-nucleotide ribosomal RNA is filed under the name uncultured bacterium. RNAcentral describes it as "partial 16S ribosomal RNA". It matches the Rfam family "Bacterial small subunit ribosomal RNA", at positions 338 to 795 of the family's 1533-position model. The record is from RNAcentral.
CCUACGGGGGGCAGCAGUGAGGAAUAUUGGUCAAUGGACGAGAGUCUGAACCAGCCAAGUAGCGUGAAGGAUGACUGCCCUAUGGGUUGUAAACUUCUUUUACAUGGGAAUAAAACGUUCCACGUGUGGGAUUUUGUAUGUACCAUAUGAAUAAGGAUCGGCUAACUCCGUGCCAGCAGCCGCGGUAAUACGGAGGAACCGAGCGUUAUCCGGAUUUAUUGGGUUUAAAGGGAGCGUAGGUGGAUCGUUAAGUCAGUUGUGAAAGUUUGCGGCUCAACCGUAAAAUUGCAGUUGAAACUGGCAGUCUUGAGUACAGUAGAGGUGGGCGGAAUUCGUGGUGUAGCGGUGAAAUGCUUAGAUAUCACGAAGAACUCCGAUUGCGAAGGCAGUUCACUGGACUGCAACUGACACUGAGGCUCGAAAGUGUGGGUAUCAAACAGGAUUAGAUACCCGGGUAGUC